RNAcentral lists this ribosomal RNA (384 nucleotides) under uncultured bacterium. Its description in RNAcentral is "bacterial SSU rRNA". It matches the Rfam family "Bacterial small subunit ribosomal RNA", at positions 28 to 414 of the family's 1533-position model. The record is from RNAcentral.
GAUGAACGCUGGCGGCGUGCUUAACACAUGCAAGUCGAACGAUGAUCCCAGCUUGCUGGGGGAUUAGUGGCGAACGGGUGAGUAACACGUGAGUAACCUGCCCUUGACUCUGGGAUAAGCCUGGGAAACUGGGUCUAAUACCGGAUACGACCAUCUGGCGCAUGUCAUGGUGGUGGAAAGCUUUUGUGGUUUUGGAUGGACUCGCGGCCUAUCAGCUUGUUGGUGGGGAAUGGCCUACCAAGGCGACGACGGGUAGCCGGCCUGAGAGGGUGACCGGCCACACUGGGACUGAGACACGGCCCAGACUCCUACGGGAGGCAGCAGUGGGGAAUAUUGCACAAUGGGCGCAAGCCUGAUGCAGCGACGCCGCGUGAGGGAUGACGG